This 1198-nucleotide long non-coding RNA is filed under the name Theobroma cacao (cacao). RNAcentral describes it as "long non-coding RNA (TCAC_LNC002925)". The record is from RNAcentral. Lineage: Eukaryota; Viridiplantae; Streptophyta; Magnoliopsida; Malvales; Malvaceae.
UAUUCACAUUUAUACUAUGUUAAAAUAAUGUCACCCAUUUGCCAACCUAUAAUGGCAUCAGUAAUCAAAUAUACAUAUUUGAUUUUUAACAUGAAUCUUAGUGGUCAACAUUACUUAUACGUAUACACAAGCAUAAGACUUUUGACCGUCAGCAGAAUGACCUUGGGUGAAGGUACGGCUACUGAGAUGCCAUAGUACCUACCAAGAAGGAGAGCAUACGUGGACAACUCAAUCUAGGUCCCAACUACCUCCGAAUCUGAAAACAUGAAGUUUAAAAGAGUGAGUAUAAAACUCGGUGAGUGAACAUAAGAAGGGAACAAGCAACCGAUACAGAAAAAUUUUGAAAACAUGAUGCACUUUUGUUAAAAACAAUGCAAUUUAGUUUAAUUUCUUGUAAAGCCCCAUAAUUCAACCUUUGAUUAUUAAAUCCCUUAGUGUUGAAAGAUCCAUGAUAAACCAUAGAGUUGAAAAGAAUGAAAGUUUUAGCAAAUGUCCAAGCAAGACAAGCAAAACAAAGAGUUUCUCGCUGCAGUGAAAGGCAUUCUUGGUUUGCAUAUAUUUUGGUUUUUCAAGUAUAUCUUCCACUACAGAAGUCCAAUUGACAUGAUUUUUAGGUCAUUAGAAAGCUAAGAGGCUGGAAUACAAUUUUGAUGUUUAUGACUUUGCCUAGUUCUGAUUGUAAGGUAGUUAAAAUUGUUGUCAAAGUGAAAGCAUUGCACCACAAUUUUGGAACCACCCGAGAGUUUCUCGCUGCAACAAGAAUCCAUUUUCGCUGCAGCGAGAAUGGAUUCUCACUACAGAAAAAUUUAGAGCAUGGAUUAAGGCUACCUACCCAAGAGUUUCUCGCUGCAGUGAGAAACAGAGCAAUUUAGUUGAAGGGGUCUUGUUACAUCAAAAAGCCAUUUUCUUGCUGAAAUGAAAAGCAAUUUAGGAGCAAUUAACAAUGCCAACAUACAACACAUUCAAAAAUAUUUUCAUAAACUUUCUAUAACAUACCAUCCCACCACACUCAGCUCAUGUGCACUCCCUACUCGCAGAUAGCUGGGUCAUCAUCAGCUCAUGUGCACUCCCACAUCGCACAUAGCUAGGUCAUCAUCAGCUCAUGUGCACUCCCACACCGCACAUAGCGGGGUCAUCAUUAGCUCAUGUCCACUCCCACACCAUACAUAGUUGGGUCAUUAUGAUCACACAAAAAGAG